GCGAUCUCCAGAAUACUAAACCAGACCGAGAGGAUGGGGGGGAGGGAGGGUUACGUCAACCUUAACAUCUCUACAAUGGACCACCGUGCGUUAAUGCAAACUUCAACACCUUGCAGCGCAAUCAGCAAAUCAACACGGCGCUGACGUCAACGCAGCCAGUCAGCCAGACGAGCAGCAGCAGGCAGGCGGGCAGCCGGCGCAGCUCUCCGCUCCGUACAAACACUAAGAAAGUGAGACACCUAGGGGGCUGUCUCAUGUCAAACGGCUGUGUUACAGUAUGGCCGUGAAAGGUGAGCGACACUGCCCUCCUUCCAGCUGUUUGAAUGCACACGGCAGCCUCCAGCCAAACAGGCUUAAUGGUUAGGCGGUCCUAUAGGAAAAGUCAAGUAUGGAUACUCAACCAUUCACAGUCCAUUCACUGAAACUGUGCUGGUGUUUAAGAGGCAGCAAAGCAGAGCAGGUCAGCUGGGGGAGAACAGUGCAGCUGAUCCAUCCUCCAUGGCGUCUGAAGUUCCUUUUAAAACAUGUGAUUUAUCCUGUAGUUUGAACAUUUAAAGCCAAAUGGAUCAAGCAUGUAAAACUUGACUUAAGCAAGCAAGUCAAAAAUAUAAGAGCAAGAUGUUCAGAGUCUUCACAUUCAUUAUCGACAUCUUAAACCUGGGAGCAGCUGGGACUGAUUUAGUUUUAUUGUGUUUUUAUGCAAGGCUGCAUAAGUUACAAACCAACUUAAUUCUCUAUACAAACCACUGCCACUGUUAUUUUUUAAUAAAUAUGUCAAAGAAAUGCAAAAGCACAAAGGAAGAGCAAAAAACAGAUUGAUCACCUAAUUCAGCACUGUGGAACCUGCCACGGAUGCUCCACAGCAUCACAUCACAGCGGAGCGAAGGUCAUGUGACGGAUACUUCAGCCACGGUCCUCAGCAGAUUCGAGAGCCACGCAACAAUAAGCACUCACGUUCAGAAAGAGUGAGCCUCGCAGCGCCAGCCGCUGGAAACCGCCAGCACUGCUGAGGUGACAGCAAACGUCAAACGCUGUGAAUGUAACACGAGAAGGACUGAAGCUCUUUGUGUGUAGAAACAUGAAGAUGCUGCAUCAUAUCUGAAGCUUGGGUCAUUAUUGAAAUUUGAUUCUCUUAAGAAGGGCACAGUAAUCAAGCACUGGAUUUGAGGGAUUUUGUUCAAACGAAAGUCGUUUUCUUGAGUCUCGUGCAAAAGUAGGCUUGUUGUAAGAUCCUGGCAACAACAUGAAAGAGAAGAAAGGGAACGAGUGUCAGUUGUCGUCUGGCGUGUUCACUGUUCACUGUAGUGGAGGACGGUUGUUCAGUGCAGCACCAGUCCUUCACUGCUCCUCAGCACGCAGCUGCUUUUGUCCUCUCGCUUUUUUCCUGUUGACCAAUAACCACAGAUGCACCUCAUUAUUCGGCCUGAUGCAGCUCCUUUAUAGUGAAAGCACGCUUUAGAGCUUCUCUGAAAACAAACUUGAUUGAUGUUUUUGACUUUAAGAUGAUCACUGGCUGGAUGCAAUGGAUUCAUUUCACUCUGUUUAGUUUCUAUUGAUAAGGUCCCUUUAAGUGCUCCUUGUGAGCUCUUUGAGUUCCUAAAGUCAAAAUAAAUACAAUUUGCCCCACA
Scatophagus argus is the source of this 1628-nucleotide long non-coding RNA. RefSeq lists it as uncharacterized. NCBI's taxonomy places the organism in Eukaryota, Metazoa, Chordata, Actinopteri, Scatophagidae. The record is from RefSeq and is a predicted model, not a curated record. The transcript is spliced from 2 exons.